AAUCCUCUCCGUCUAAAGAGAGCCUUUUUUGGCCCGUAAAAACAGAAGGUCAUGGUUUCAAAUUUCCAAAGGGUGCGAUUCCAAGGAACCUUAUUAUGGGUUUCCGAUGAUCAGCAAGGGGAGGUUCUUUAGAAUUUCGCUACAAGCAGACAGAUGGAGACAAUCUCUUCUAUUUUUGCGUUGCAUGGAAAAAGAAAGAAGGGAAGGCGUUUCGGGGCAGCACAUUAAAAGAAAAUCGAGAGUUAUUUAUGGGGGGAGCUUUUUUUUCAUUCGAUUUUGGGAUUCGUCGGGCUUUAGGAUUUCUACGUAAGGGAAAUAAAAAGAAGAAAGCCUAGGAUUAAAGGGGAUUUCAUCCUCUUUGAUUGGAGCAAAUAACAAGAAAGGUGUUCUUUGAGGGUUUCUAUGUAAGAAGAGUGUUGUAAAGAGGGCUAGUUAAAAGGGAG
Molecule: long non-coding RNA, 443 nt
Filed under: Carica papaya (papaya)
Lineage: Eukaryota; Viridiplantae; Streptophyta; Magnoliopsida; Brassicales; Caricaceae
Description: long non-coding RNA (CPAP_LNC013332)
Source: RNAcentral